This 217-nucleotide ribosomal RNA is filed under the name uncultured bacterium. RNAcentral describes it as "partial 16S ribosomal RNA". It matches the Rfam family "Bacterial small subunit ribosomal RNA", at positions 29 to 230 of the family's 1533-position model. The record is from RNAcentral.
AACGAACGUUGGCGGCGCGCCUAACACAUGCAAGUCGCACGAGAAAGGGGAGCAAUCCCCGGUACAGUGGCGCACGGGUGAGUAACACGUGGAUAAUCUUCCCUCGAGCGGGGGAUAACCUUCCGAAAGGAGGGCUAAUACCGCAUAAGACUACAGCCAGUUCGCUGGCAGCAGUCAAAGCUGGCCUCUUCACGAAAGCUAGCACUUGAGGAUGAGU